UCACACAUGCACACACCAGACACCACACACAUGGGCACACACAGAGUCACAACUCAAAAAUAAUUGGCUAAAAAAAAUUGACAAAUAAAAAACAAAAUCAAAUUAUAACCCACGCACACAGCCACACACAAACAAAUCUUCGCUACCUUCACAGCCCUAAUCCUUACACUCAUGACUUCACACACACACACAUCGCAAAAGCCAAAAGCAAAGCGGCAGCCAGCAGCCAACGCAGAGAAGAGAACGGAGGAAGCGCAGCCAACGCAUGCAGCCACCUAACCCGCGACUGGAUCUGCUGCUUCGCGACAUCCGUAGCUACCAGAUCUGCUGUUGUUGGAUAUCUAUCGGAUCUACUGCUGCUGGAUCCGCUGCGCUGCUAUCAGAUCUGCUGCUGCAGCCUCCACCGUCACCAAGUUCCACCGUGAACCGGCAACCCAAAUUCUUUUCUUUUUUGAUGUUUUGAUGGUAUAUAAUAAUAUAUUAUAUAUUAUCUGUUAAUUGCC
RNAcentral lists this long non-coding RNA (503 nucleotides) under Citrus sinensis (sweet orange). RNAcentral describes it as "long non-coding RNA (CSIN_LNC005559)". The record is from RNAcentral. Lineage: Eukaryota; Viridiplantae; Streptophyta; Magnoliopsida; Sapindales; Rutaceae.